Molecule: ribosomal RNA, 956 nt
Filed under: Acinetobacter sp.
Lineage: Bacteria; Pseudomonadati; Pseudomonadota; Gammaproteobacteria; Moraxellales; Moraxellaceae
Description: bacterial SSU rRNA
Rfam family: Bacterial small subunit ribosomal RNA
Source: RNAcentral
CGCUGGCGGCAGGCUUAACACAUGCAAGUCGAGCGGAGUGGUUGUGCUUGCACAAUCACUUAGCGGCGGACGGGUGAGUAAUGCUUAGGAAUCUGCCUAUUAGUGGGGGACAACAUUCCGAAAGGAAUGCUAAUACCGCAUACGCCCUACGGGGGAAAGCAGGGGAUCUUCGGACCUUGCGCUAAUAGAUGAGCCUAAGUCGGAUUAGCUAGUUGGUGGGGUAAAGGCCUACCAAGGCGACGAUCUGUAGCGGGUCUGAGAGGAUGAUCCGCCACACUGGGACUGAGACACGGCCCAGACUCCUACGGGAGGCAGCAGUGGGGAAUAUUGGACAAUGGGGGGAACCCUGAUCCAGCCAUGCCGCGUGUGUGAAGAAGGCCUUUUGGUUGUAAAGCACUUUAAGCGAGGAGGAGGCUACUAGUACUAAUACUACUGGAUAGUGGACGUUACUCGCAGAAUAAGCACCGGCUAACUCUGUGCCAGCAGCCGCGGUAAUACAGAGGGUGCGAGCGUUAAUCGGAUUUACUGGGCGUAAAGCGUGCGUAGGCGGCUGAUUAAGUCGGAUGUGAAAUCCCUGAGCUUAACUUAGGAAUUGCAUUCGAUACUGGUCAGCUAGAGUAUGGGAGAGGAUGGUAGAAUUCCAGGUGUAGCGGUGAAAUGCGUAGAGAUCUGGAGGAAUACCGAUGGCGAAGGCAGCCAUCUGGCCUAAUACUGACGCUGAGGUACGAAAGCAUGGGGAGCAAACAGGAUUAGAUACCCUGGUAGUCCAUGCCGUAAACGAUGUCUACUAGCCGUUGGGGCCUUUGAGGCUUUAGUGGCGCAGCUAACGCGAUAAGUAGACCGCCUGGGGAGUACGGUCGCAAGACUAAAACUCAAAUGAAUUGACGGGGGCCCGCACAAGCGGUGGAGCAUGUGGUUUAAUUCGAUGCAACGCGAAGAACCUUACCUGGUCUUGA